ACCAGCACAAACAGGAGCUACUGAUAUUGCGGCUCCUAGUAGUCACACAGCGACAGAACCUGUGAAACCAGGGCCUGACAUUGUUGAGAUUGUGAAGCCGGUAGGCUAUUCUGCUGCAGAAGCCAGCACCAAGCAGGAAGCUUCGGUGACCUUCAAGGUUAAAAGAGAAAAAUAGCGUUUUACACUUCUCGAAAGCUGAUCAAUUACUAUGAGCAGCAUCUGCAGUACAGUUCGAAACCAUCGUGAUCGAAGAGAUUAAUUGAAGGAAGCUUUGAUUUGUUGUUAAUUAUGUUGUGGAUGCUGGACAUAGUAAGGGGAAGAAAAGCUUUGUUUGUUAGUGAUGUUUUUAAGUUUGAUGACUAUUGAUGACUAUUUGAACUGUGUAAUAAUUUGUGGCUAUUUACUUUGAUGUUUGCUGAUGAGGACCUCCACAUUUGAAGUUGGAGGUGGUUUUUAUUGUUUUGGUCAAGAACAUAACAAAACUUUGUUUUGGUUUAAUUUCAAAAUUUCUGGAACUUUUUUA
Molecule: long non-coding RNA, 523 nt
Organism: Vicia villosa (hairy vetch)
Lineage: Eukaryota; Viridiplantae; Streptophyta; Magnoliopsida; Fabales; Fabaceae
Exons: 3
Source: RefSeq, a predicted model, not a curated record